This 774-nucleotide ribosomal RNA is filed under the name uncultured Neocallimastigales. RNAcentral's name for it is "partial large subunit ribosomal RNA". It matches the Rfam family "Eukaryotic large subunit ribosomal RNA", at positions 22 to 639 of the family's 3401-position model. The record is from RNAcentral. Lineage: Eukaryota; Fungi; Neocallimastigomycota; Neocallimastigomycetes; Neocallimastigales.
GUACACGCUGUGACUAGCAUAUCAAUAAGCGGAGGAAAAGAAACUAACAAGGAUUCCCCUAGUAACGGCGAGUGAAGCGGGAAGAGCUCAAAUUUGAAAUCUUAAAGGGUUUCCCUUUACGAAUUGUAGUUUAAAGAAGUGUUUUCUGUUGAGGUUUUGGUAAAAGUUCUUUGGAAUAGGACAUCAUAGAGGGUGAGAAUCCCGUAUUUGACCUUUACUUUCAACUUUGUGAUACACUUUCAAAGAGUCGGAUUGUUUGGGAAUGCAGUCCAAAAUGGGUGGUGAAUUUCAUCUAAAGCUAAAUAUUGGCGAGAGACCGAUAGCGAACAAGUACCGUGAGGGAAAGAUGAAAAGAACUUUGAAAAGAGAGUUAAACAGUACGUGAAAUUGUCAAAAGGGAAGCGUUUGACACCAGUGUUGUUUUUCUGAAAAUCAAUUAAAGAACUGUUUAUGCUAAGCUGUUUAGACUUUAUCAGCUAACUGUUUAGUUUUGAGCUUUUCUUUAAUGCACUUUUCAGUUAACAAGUCAACAUCAAUUUCUUUUGCUGUAAAAAAGCUUGAGGAAGGUGGCUUGAGAUUCGUCUUAAGUGUUUAUAGCCUCUUGCCUAUGCAGUCGGAGAGAUUGAGGUCUGCAGCGUAGAUCCUUCGGGGCUAAAUGCAUUUGUGCUAAGUUAUAACAUUUUAUAGACAACUUGUUGACUAUGAUUUGUCUUGUAGCUUACUCGCUUAUGUUAUUUUACCUACGCUUAGGAUGUUGACGCGCGUGUGUGCGUG